UUAGUGGCGGACGGGUGAGUAACGCGUGGAUAACCUGCCGUAUACCGGGGAUAACACUUAGAAAUAGGUGCUAAUACCGCAUAAGCGCACGGCUCCGCAUGGGGCAGUGUGAAAAACUCCGGUGGUAUACGAUGGAUCCGCGUCUGAUUAGCUAGUUGGCGGGGUAACGGCCCACCAAGGCAGCGAUCAGUAGCCGGCCUGAGAGGGUGGACGGCCACAUUGGGACUGAGACACGGCCCAAACUCCUACGGGAGGCAGCAG
This 261-nucleotide ribosomal RNA is filed under the name uncultured bacterium. RNAcentral's name for it is "partial 16S ribosomal RNA". It matches the Rfam family "Bacterial small subunit ribosomal RNA", at positions 92 to 354 of the family's 1533-position model. The record is from RNAcentral.